Molecule: long non-coding RNA, 1413 nt
Filed under: Anas platyrhynchos platyrhynchos (common mallard)
Lineage: Eukaryota; Metazoa; Chordata; Aves; Anseriformes; Anatidae
Description: lncRNA (ENSAPLG00000018182.1)
Source: RNAcentral
AGGAGUGCUCUAAUCCUCCUUUCUUUCCCUGGGGUUCUUUGUCAGUCACAUAAGUUGUCCAGCCUCUUUCAGCGCGGUACUGCCUGGACACUCGCAGUGGGAGCAGAUGGUAGGAGGGGAUGCAGCUUUUUUAGGCAGUUCGUCACCUCCUGUGUCUUCAAGACCUUUAAAGCAAAGAUACUUCAAAACACUGAAACAAAACUGACGGCAGUGGUGAAUCCAUUACCGAGGCUUGGGCAGAGCUCACCUUACCUCAUUUGUCUGCAAAAAAUUCCUGCUUGUGAGUUCGACUCACUGCUGAUCCAAAUUUCUAAUCUCUCUCUCAGUAUUGUAGCCGUUGUUUGGUGGCCUUUUUCUAAUGUGAGUCUCCUAGCAAAUUUUUGUGCUAUAAUACAAGUUAGUUAUUUGAAGAAUUUGAGUUCUUUAGUUGCUCUGAGACUUCUGGGUAUAAUACCCUUGCUGCCUUGAAAGGUUAAAUUGUGACUGCACUAGGGAGAGAGAAAAUAUUUUGGUGGAGCUGUGUGUAAAUGAUUUUGACAAACCAAGUCUUUAAAAGACCAAAAGCAUAUCGACUGUGGUUUCAAAAGUGAUACAAAAAUAUUUUGUAUUGAAAGCGUAGUUCCCAUGUUUGUCUUCUGAUUCCAAAUUACUGAACUGCUUCUUGUAGCUAGCAGGUUUAAAUAAUGCUUGCUGAGAAAGGAAGAGGGCUUUCAUGGCUUUUCUUAAGUGAUGUUUUUGUAGUUCCCUCUAGGUAGACCUAAAUUUGCAUUCUUUUCGUGAUCACUUCUUGUUUUGAAACUGUAGCUCAGAAGGAGGCAAGGCCCAAGCACUGUUUUAGGUCUCUACAUCCAGCUUCAAGGUAAAAAUCGUGUUCGGCCUUGCAAAAUGGCAGUAAGGAGCAGUUUUUGUCCCCCACUGCUCUAAGUGAUCCUUCAGAACUCUGUGGCUUACGCACACCAAUGCCCAGUGCUUAGCCAGACUAGGAUUUUUCAGGAAAUUGAUAUGGAAGCAUACCAUGUCUGCAGGUAUCUGCUAUUUAUCAAAAGUAUCUGGGGAAAAAAAAGUAAUUAUAUAUGUGUAUGUAUAUUUGUGUAUAUAUAUACAUAUAUACACACACACAUUUUAAAGAGAAAAAAAUCACAGAUAUACUUUAUUUUGAAAAUAGCAUGUAUUGUCCAGUGUUCUUCAUUCUAGGAUGUUGUUCCCUGAGGGAUCAGGGAAGAUGUUCUGAAUUAAUGUAGGUGAUGGUUUCUUUGUGUUGGAUACCUACAGUAGCUGUCGACAUUCUGAAGUUCUGGUAUUGGUCUUGAUUGUGCAGGGCUUUUGUGUUUGUUUGCUUUUUUUUUUUUUAACGAACUUGCUAUGUAAAGAAAUACCAAUAAAUUGCUACUUUUUGUUGUUUAAGUUUUUUUU